Molecule: long non-coding RNA, 974 nt
Organism: Nymphalis io (European peacock)
Lineage: Eukaryota; Metazoa; Arthropoda; Insecta; Lepidoptera; Nymphalidae
Exons: 2
Source: RefSeq, a predicted model, not a curated record
CUGUACCUAAUAUUGCGCUUAUCGUGCGCUGCGACAAUCGUGAGCUCGCCCGAGCAUGUGUGAUGAUACGAUUUGCUUCUAUUAGCUGACUUAGAAUCUAUCGGAAAAAUCCUACUUUGUAAUUGGCCAGUAUUUGAUACUCGAUCAAACGUUUACGUUUCUUGAAGUGACGUGUAUUGAUUUGUUUCUAUAGUUAAGUUUGAAUUGAUAGGAAAAACAUACCUUGUAAGGAGGAACGAUAUGGUCGAGCGUUCAAAGUGACAGAAUCCGAUAUGUGGGAUGAGGUGAUUGAGGGCAUCAAUGGCGGGAGCGAACAUUUCAAAUAAUUAAAGUCUUCUUCAAAACGUGAAGACCACGGGAGCGCUCCUCUGAAGAAUAGUGUCCUCAUAAUUAACAAACCACAUUUCUAGGUAACGUUCCGUUUUAUUAAAUAAAGUCCAAUAAGCAAUUGCGAUUAAACUUUGAAAUUAAUCGAUUCCCGAAAUUUUAUAUUAUAAUGUUUUUUAAUGUCUAAUUUACCGAUUAUUUUUUUUUAUAGUAUAGGAUGGCGGACGAGCAUAUGGGCCACCUGAUGGUAAGUGGUCACCAACGCUCAUAGACGUUGGCAUUGUAAUAAAUAUUAAGCAUUGCUUACAUCACCAUUACACCACCAACCUUGGGAACUAAUAUGUUUUGUCCCUUGUGCCUGUAAUUACAUUGGCUCACUCACCCUUCAAACCGGAACACAACAGUACCAAGUACUGCUGUUUUGCGGUAGAAUAUCUGAUAAGUGUGUGUACCUACCCAGACGAGCUUGCACAAAGCUCUACCACCAGUACCAGUAGAUCAAAUAAAUAAUUACACAAGAUAGAAAAACUUACCACUUUAAUACAUAAAAUUUAAUCUAGAUUUUGUGAUAUCUUAAAAAAAUAUGUAAUUUCAAUUGCGCAGCAAAAAUAAACUUAUAUUAUACAUAAAUAAAUUAAUAUAUUGAA